GACGAAGGGGGCUAGCGUUGUUCGGAAUUACUGGGCGUAAAGAGCGCGUAGGCGGUUUGGUAAGUUGGAAGUGAAAGCCCGGGGCUUAACCUCGGAAUUGCUUUCAAAACUGCCAGGCUAGAGUGUAGUAGGGGAUGAUGGAAUUCCUAGUGUAGAGGUGAAAUUCUUAGAUAUUAGGAGGAACACCGGUGGCGAAGGCGGUCAUCUGGGCUACAACUGACGCUGAGGCGCGAAAGCGUGGGGAGCAAACAGGAUUAGAUACCCUGGUAGUCCACGCUGUAAACGAUGAGUGCUAGGUAUCGGGAGAAUUUCUCUCGGUUCCGCAGCUAACGCAUUAAGCACUCCGCCUGGGGAGUACGGUCGCAAGAUUAAA
Molecule: ribosomal RNA, 373 nt
Filed under: uncultured bacterium
Lineage: Bacteria
Description: bacterial SSU rRNA
Rfam family: Bacterial small subunit ribosomal RNA
Source: RNAcentral